GGGGGCAGAGCUCAGUGGUAGAGUGUGUACUUGUCAUGUACAAGACCCUGGGUUUGAUCCCCAGUACCCCUG
This 72-nucleotide transfer RNA is filed under the name Ictidomys tridecemlineatus (thirteen-lined ground squirrel). RNAcentral's name for it is "Spermophilus tridecemlineatus (thirteen-lined ground squirrel) tRNA". It matches the Rfam family "tRNA". From Rfam's summary of the family: Transfer RNA (tRNA) molecules are approximately 80 nucleotides in length. Lineage: Eukaryota; Metazoa; Chordata; Mammalia; Rodentia; Sciuridae. The record is from Rfam by way of RNAcentral.